RNAcentral lists this ribosomal RNA (216 nucleotides) under uncultured fungus. RNAcentral describes it as "partial small subunit ribosomal RNA". The stretch from base 38 to 216 matches the Rfam family "Eukaryotic small subunit ribosomal RNA", at positions 684 to 864 of the family's 1831-position model. The record is from RNAcentral. Lineage: Eukaryota; Fungi.
GGAUUAGUACGCUGGUCGUGCCUUCGGUACGUACUGGUGUUACUGAUUCCUACCUUCUGACGAACCGUCAUGUCAUUAAUUUGAUGUGGCGGGGAAUCAGGACUGUUACUUUGAAAAAAUUAGAGUGUUUAAAGCAAGCAAACGCUUGAAUACAUUAGCAUGGAAUAAUGAAAUAGGACGUUCGAACCUAUUUUGUUGGUUUCUAGAGUCGCCGUA